AACGAACGCUGGCGGCAUGCCUAACACAUGCAAGUCGAACGAGACCUUCGGGUCUAGUGGCGCACGGGUGCGUAACGCGUGGGAACCUGCCCUUAGGUUCGGAAUAACUCCCCGAAAGGGGUGCUAAUACCAGAUAAUGUCUUCGGACCAAAGAUUUAUCGCCUUUGGAUGGGCCCGCGUUGGAUUAGCUAGUUGGUAGGGUAAAAGCCUACCAAGGCGACGAUCCAUAGCUGGUCUGAGAGGAUGAUCAGCCACACUGGGACUGAGACACGGCCCAGACUCCUACGGGAGGCAGCAGUGGGGAAUAUUGGACAAUGGGCGAAAGCCUGAUCCAGCAAUACCGCGUGAGUGAUGAAGGCCUUAGGGUUGUAAAGCUCUUUUACCCGGGAUGAUAAUGACAGUACCGGGAGAAUAAGCUCCGGCUAACUCCGUG
This 433-nucleotide ribosomal RNA is filed under the name uncultured bacterium. RNAcentral describes it as "partial 16S ribosomal RNA". It matches the Rfam family "Bacterial small subunit ribosomal RNA", at positions 29 to 507 of the family's 1533-position model. The record is from RNAcentral.